AGUCCCGUGGUCCAACGGCAACGACGCUUGGUUCACAUCCAGGAAACGAUGGUUCAACUCCAUUCGGGACUAC
Molecule: transfer RNA, 73 nt
Filed under: Rubinisphaera italica
Lineage: Bacteria; Pseudomonadati; Planctomycetota; Planctomycetia; Planctomycetales; Planctomycetaceae
Description: Planctomycetes bacterium Pan54 tRNA-Val
Rfam family: tRNA
About the family: Transfer RNA (tRNA) molecules are approximately 80 nucleotides in length. Their secondary structure includes four short double-helical elements and three loops (D, anti-codon, and T loops).
Source: RNAcentral